This is a non-coding RNA of Theobroma cacao (cacao), 2461 nucleotides long. The record is from RefSeq and is a predicted model, not a curated record. Lineage: Eukaryota; Viridiplantae; Streptophyta; Magnoliopsida; Malvales; Malvaceae.
UGUUUCAUUUGCAAAUUCUAUUACUAUCCUAUUGCUGCGACCUUGUUGAGUUGCCUACCAAAUUGGGAAGGUUAAUCAAUUUGCAACAUCUUGAUCUUAGAGGCACAAAGUUGAAACAGAUGCCAGCACAUAUGGGCAAACUAAAAGAUUUGCACAAGUUAACUACAUUUGUUGUAGGCAAACACAGUGGGUCCAGCAUCAGUGAGUUAGGGGAGCUCCAACAUCUUCACGGAACCCUUUCCAUUUUGAAUUUGCAAAAUGUUGGUUGUUCUGGAGAUGCUUUGAAGGCCGAUUUGAAGGGUAAGAAGAAACUGCAGGGGUUAGUGUUGAGUUGGGGAGAUGAAAUUGAAGAUUAUUCUAAGGAUAUGUUUGUUGUGCCUUUGUUCAUGGAAAGAGAGGUAGAAGUACCUAAGUGUGUGCCUCAUGAAGACUUGGAUCAUCAAAGAAAUGUACUUGAGCAACUACAGCCUUCUCCAGAUCUGGAACACCUCAAAAUUUUCUAUUAUGGGGGUACACAAUUUCCAGAAUGGGUGGGAGAUCAUUCCUUUUCAAAAAUUGUAUCCUUGGAAUUGGGCAAUUGUGAGCAUUGCUUGUCCUUGCCAGCACUUGGACAUCUACGGUCUUUGAAGAACCUGUCUCUCAGAGGAUUUCCUCGAGUAACUGCAGUAGGUUCUGAGUUCUAUGGGAAUGGUUCUAGUAUGAAGUCCUUUGACUCACUUGAAAUACUGAGGUUCGAGAACAUGCCGGAGUGGAAAAAAUGGUUGUGUUUGGGAGAUGAAAAUGGAACUUUCUGUAGUCUGCAAGAACUGUACAUAAUAGAUUGUCCCAAGCUGAAGGGAGAUCUGCCUAAAACACUUCCUCUUCUAAGGAAAUUUAGGAUUGAAAAUUGUGAGACGCUUGGUAGUGCUCUCUCGAGGGCGCCUGACAUGCAUGAACUGAAAUUAGUGAAUUGUGAUAAAAUGCAGCUGCAGGCACUACCAACAGAGCUGCAAAAUUUAGCAGUUGAAAAUUGCAGUGUCCAAGAUUCCUCACUGGAGCUGAUGCUGCAGCACUGCACUCGUCUUGAAGGAUUGUCUAUUGGAAGUUGUGCUUCUCUUAAGUCCCUUCCUGAAGGUCGUCUACCUGUUUCCUUGAAGAGAUUGAUGAUUAAUAACUGCGGUGAGUUUGAUUUUUCUAGAAUCCUCUUGUGCACAUCUCUACAAAAUUUGAACGUGUUGAAUGCCCUUGAUUCACUAGAAUCAUUCUCAUUAGGCUCUUUUCCUAACCUAAAUAGCUUGAACUUCUCGCUUUGUACAAACAUCAAGUCGUUUUCUGCAUUAGAGGGACCUCACCAGCAUCUCCCAUCUCUCCAUUCUAUAAAUAUAUUCGACUGUCCUAAUUUUGUAUCUUUUCCCAAAGGAGGAUUAUCUGCCCCUAAUUUGACAAUGCUUUAUCUCUUCAAUUGCAAAAAUUUAAAGUCACUCCCCGAGCAAAUGCACUCCCUUCUCCCAUCCCUCGACUAUUUGUCUGUAGCGAAUUGUUCAGAGAUUGAGUCAUUUCCAGAAGGGGGCUUGCCAUUCAACUUACAAUUUCUUGAUAUUAGUUGUUGUAAUAAACUUAUUGCUGGUCGAAUGGGAUGGGGAUUGCACAAACUCCGCUGUCUUACAUAUUUCAAAAUGAGUGGAGGAGAUAUGGAGUUCUUUCCGGAUGAGCAGCUGCUGCCAUCCACUAUUACCAAUCUUCACAUUUCGUGGCUUCCAAAUCUCAAGACUUUGGACUACAAAGGGCUUCAACACCUUACCUCUAUUCAGGAAUUGGACAUCAAUUUUUGCCCAAAGCUCCAAUCCAUGCCACCAGAGGGGCUCCCUGUCUCCCUUUCUUCUAUAUCCAUUUCCGACUGUCCAUUGCUGACAAAACGUUGCCAAAAGGAGAAGGGUAAAGAUUGGGCCAAGAUUUCCCACAUCCCAUCGAUAACAAUUGAUGGUCAAGUCAUCAUCGCCUAAACUCAAUGUCUCAGAGAAUUCAUUUGGCUCAGCAGAAACCAUACGGUCCCUGUAGUCUUGAACCAACGCACUGCCACAGACAAAACAAAUUGAAGCCAUGAGGAGCUUCUCCUUCUCCUUCUCCGCCGUUUUACUGCUUCUGUUACUUUCUUUUGGCAAUCAGCUGAUGAUGGGACAGAGCUGAGAGUGUGAGCAGUCAUUUCCAAAUCCAGGCUGCACACAAGAUGAAUGCAAUAAUCUUUGCAUUCAGCAUUUUGGGAGAACUGGGAAAUAUGGAGCUCCAGUUUAUGGGGUUUGCUUCACGAGUAAAACUUGUAUCUACCGUCAAUGUUAAAGCCUCAAAGUUACAACUUGGGCUACUUUUAUCUUUGUCUGGCUUUGUUUCACGGACAAACAAACAAAAUCAUUGAAGUUUAAUAACGUGGAUAUCUAUUUGAAUGCAGUGAAAUGUGUUUAUAAUUAAGGGAUCCUACUUUGAA